AAAUCUACUGUUUUAUCCAAUAAAAUUAGAAUAAUACAGUGAAGAUUACCACAGCCUUUGCACGACGAUGACACACACAGAUUGAAAAAUGGACCUCACAAGU
Molecule: small nuclear RNA, 103 nt
Organism: Nymphaea colorata (pocket water lily)
Lineage: Eukaryota; Viridiplantae; Streptophyta; Magnoliopsida; Nymphaeales; Nymphaeaceae
Source: RefSeq, a predicted model, not a curated record